Molecule: transfer RNA, 76 nt
Filed under: Limnochorda pilosa
Lineage: Bacteria; Bacillati; Bacillota; Limnochordia; Limnochordales; Limnochordaceae
Description: tRNA-Val
Rfam family: tRNA
About the family: Transfer RNA (tRNA) molecules are approximately 80 nucleotides in length. Their secondary structure includes four short double-helical elements and three loops (D, anti-codon, and T loops).
Source: RNAcentral
GGGAAGGUAGCUCAGCUGGUAGAGCACGUGCUUGACGUGCACGGGGUCCAGGGUUCGAGUCCCUGCCUUCCCACCA